AGCAAUGAGACACUCAACGAUUCAUCAGGUGGAAGGCAUCAAUAGAAACUAUGGCCGAUAUGGGACAAUUCUUCCUGUUGGAACAUGCAGUGGAACAGCGUAAAGAAUGUAGCAGAUUGUUUCUGAGACCAAGAAUUCAGAUACAAAACAAUGUAAAUAGCAGGUGCAUAGAAAAAAAAUCGAUGUUGGACCACUGAGUGAGAUGUUGGACCACUCGGAGAAAUGUUGGACCGCUUACGUUACAGAAUGGACAGAGCUUAAUCUCAUUUUCAUUCGUUGAUGUUAAACAGUGACAGACUUGAUGUUACAUCAUGGAAUGCAGCACAAAAUACAUGAAAAUGUUGAAUCCAGUCAAGAAACACCAACGGAUAGCCAAGAAAGCCAAGAUUCAGAGGCAUCAAUUUCUGAAAAAGAACUACCAGAAGGAGACGGUAAAGAGGAACGGACAUAUCACACCAUAAGACGUGCUUCAAAAUCUGAAUAUACAGAGUGAAUUUUACUUACUGCAAAUCCUUGUGAAAGAACACCUUUGUUGUAUUGACAUAAAAACAACGGAAUUGUCAGGAUCCUUGAACAUGACGCAACUGGCUGCAUACGAUGGCAAUUAGAAAUGCAUACAUGUUUACAUUGAUCUUUGUUAGCGAAUAAGACAAAAAGCAAAAUAGCAAGUUUAUCCUAUUACCGUACAUGUACUGAAUGUAUUCACUUUAUUUUGUUGAACUACAUCAUGAGUUAAAAAAUUGUACAAUAUCACAUACAGUUUAUGGUGGGAUUCCUCUAACUUUUAUGAAUCUGUUUGCAAAAUCUAUACUUUAAAGUUACAAUUUAUUACCUCUAAAACAUUGUAUGUUUUUUUUGUAAAUUAUUACACUGUUUUUGUAUGUAUGUAAUGAUAACCAAAUCACCCAAUUUUCCCGCACUUUUUACCAUGUAUUUAGCAUUUUUUUACCAUGCUUAAGUGUAUUAAUAUUUUACAACUGAUGACCAGGCAGUCUUCAUUUAACAGUGUAAUACAUAACACAUUUUUAUCUGAAUAUUUUUAAAACAAGGAUAACAUGCCGUGGAUUGAUUCUGUGUUCAAAACUUCAUAAUCACUGGGUUUUCUUAUUUAUGUUGUACACGUAUUUGGAAUAAAAAAGGAAUUGUUAAAAGAAAAGUGAAAUUAAUCAUUCUAUUGUUGUCAAAGAAAGAUAAUAAAACCAGUUUACUUAUGCACAGAAUUGGUCAACACAUAUUGUCAUUGAUAAUUCAUCCAAGAAUCAUAUGUAUAAUAAAUCUACAAAGUCAAUUUGAGUGAUAUCAAAGAAAGUUCUUUAUCUUUUUUAAUAUAAGUGCAAAAAGGUCAAGCAGGGCAACAUGUGCCCAGGUGUACAUGUAUAAAUUGUUUUCUGUGAUAUAGAAUGUAAUUUAGAAGAAUAUUACUUGGAAUUUUACUCGUUUUCUUUGAAAUAUUUUGAUUAAUUCUAUCUAUCAAAGUCGAUUUGAACGAUAUAAGGAAAACUUCUUUUCUUUUUAGCUCUUCUGAGCCAAAGGCUCAAAGAGCUAAUGCUAUGGCCAUUUGUGCGGUGUGCGUAAACUUUUUAGAAUAUGGGCCAUAACUCAAGAACCCCUUGGCCAAUCAGUACCAAAUUUGUCACAGGGUAUCCUUGGCCCAAGGGCUACCAUUUAUACUAAAAUAAGGGUUGGGACCCUUAAACAAGGGGAGAUAAUCAGGAAAACAAAACCAAAAGUACUGGUUGCUAAAAAAUCUUCUCCAUAACCACCAGGCAGAUUUUCACCAAACUUACAUACAAUUAUCAGGAUAUGUCGAAGAUUAAAAUUUGCACGGGGAAUUACCCUGGGGCAAAGGGCGUGGUCUCAAGGUCACAUCAAAGUUGACCUAAAUUUACAAUUAAUAAAAACGUGUAUAUUUUGCUUAUUGCAAGGACUAGGAUCAUCAAUUCUUGUAAGUUGAUGCAUCUUACGACUUCACAUCAUGUUAACUCAAAAGUAGGUCACGAUGACCUACUUUUUAAAUUUUGCGGGGAUUUGUUUUCAAAUUGAUUUGAAGGCAUAUUUUGGACACUUUAAGGCUUAUGAUCAUCAAACUUUGUCAGUUGAUGCAUCUUGGGUCCUCAAACAAUGUCAACUUAAAAGUAGGUCACCGUGACCUACUUUUUGAACUUUAUGACUUAUCCUUUUAAAAACAUUAAAUCUCAUUAUUUCAGACACUGAGAGGUUUAGAAUCAUCAAAUCUUGUACUUUGAUGCAUCUUGGGGUCUUGAAACAUAUUUAUGAAAAAGUAGGUCACUGUGACCUACUUUUUGAAUU
RNA transcript from Saccostrea cuccullata (small rock oyster), 2310 nucleotides. RefSeq lists it as uncharacterized. The transcript has 5 exons. The record is from RefSeq and is a predicted model, not a curated record. NCBI's taxonomy places the organism in Eukaryota, Metazoa, Mollusca, Bivalvia, Ostreida, Ostreidae.